Molecule: RNA transcript, 3617 nt
Organism: Trichosurus vulpecula (common brushtail)
Lineage: Eukaryota; Metazoa; Chordata; Mammalia; Diprotodontia; Phalangeridae
Gene name: histone H1.4-like
Exons: 2
Source: RefSeq, a predicted model, not a curated record
UCUACAGCAUUUUUUACUGUAAUUAUCUAGGUUUGCUACUAUGUCUGAGACUGCUCCUGCCGCGCCGGCUACUCCAGCUCCAGCAGAGAAGACACCUGUGAAGAAGAAGGCGAAGAAGCCAACGGGUUCCGCAGGAGCGCGGCGAAAGGCUUCUGGGCCCCCGGUGUCUGAGCUGAUCACCAAGGCUGUGGCCGCCUCCAAUGAGCGCAGUGGCGUGUCUCUGGCCGCCCUCAAGAAGGCGCUGGCGGCCGCCGGCUACGAUGUGGAGAAGAACAACAGCCGCAUCAAGCUGGGGCUCAAAAGCCUGGUGAACAAAGGCACUCUUGUGCAGACCAAGGGGACCGGCGCUUCGGGUUCCUUCAAGCUCAACAAAAAGACCCCUGCGGGCGAAGGCAAAGGGAAGGCCAAGAAAUCGGCCUCCGCCAAAGCCAAGAAGUCAUCGGGGGCUGCCAAGAAGCCCAAAAAGACCACGGGGGCGGCCACGAAGAAAACCUUGAAGAAGACCCCGAAGAAAGCGAAAAAGCCGGCGGCGGCGACGGGAGCCAAGAAGGCGGCCAAGAGCCCCAAGAAAGCCAAAGCUGCUAAGCCCAAGAAGGCGGCUAAGAGCCCUGCGAAGGCGAAAGCCGUGAAGCCCAAGGCAGCGAAGGCAAAGGUGACCAAACCUAAAACAGCCAAGCCCAAGAAGGCGGCGCCAAAGAAGAAGUAGGUCUCCGCGGGAACUUCCAACACCUCAAAGGCUCUUUUCAGAGCCACCCAAGGAUCUCAAUGAAAAGAGCUCGAUACUACCGGAUAUCCUGCGGCGCCAUAGUGCCUGACCAGUUGUAAAGCCCACGGGCCCCCGGGAGAGUUGCCAGACUGACAGACCCGAUGGUCAGCUGAUCCAGUGUCUUUAAGUGGCCUAUAAACAGGAACCAAAUAAACUUGCAAAAUUUGAAAUUUUUUUUGUCUCUUUAAAUGACAGGCCUUACUUGCAGGAACAAGUAGGUUAGUGCUUAUUGAUCAGAGCACGGGUUCUCAAAACUUGUCCAGAGAGACCCCGGGAGUCCCCGAUCCCCGACUCAAGGGCAUUCGUGAGGUCAAAACGAUUCACCGCAAAUACUACUUUUAUUUCUAAUUAGGCGUCGGUAGAGAUGAAAUUUUUUUUAAAAAGGGUAUCUGGCGCUCUCAAUUUCCAGCCGUUGUAAAGGGCCGAAAAGUUUGAGAACCGCUGGGCUAGAGAAACAUUCAAAAGUCCCGCGCCUCGAAUAAAUUGGUUUGUUAUUCAACCUCACGUAGCCUUGAAUUCUGGACAAUUUGAUUGGAAAAAAAUGAAUCCCUACACACUCCCACUUGCUCUUAAUGGUUAUAAAUGUAGUUUCCUUUUCUCCUUGUUCUUCAGCAUUCAUAUUCUGUGUACGUACUGCUUACAUCUGCAAUGCUUUAGUUUGAGGAAAAGGGCUUCCAGCACAAUGACUCCAAGGACAGUUUUACUUUUUAAAAAAGUUCAAGCCGCAAAAUGCUUUGUUCUUGAGGCUUCUGCAAAUGUUUUCAUUGAUAAAGAAUUCCUUUUUCAAGCAACACUUAAAAUUUUGUUAGGGUAAAUCGGAGAGUAACAAUUUAAAAGUCAAAUAUAUAUCCCUGGAAAUUUAUGUAUACCCUUACGAACGCAAAUAGUCUGAGACAUUUUCUCUCGCGGAGCCACCAUACUCCCCCAGCCUCAUCGCCGACUCCCGCCCAAAGUUGGCCUUUCUGGAGGAUUCUUUUGGAUAGUGGGGAAUCCAGCGUCUAGAUAUUUGUGGUGGCUGAAAUUAUUUUUAGUUUAAGAUUUGCUUAAUGGAGAAGAGGGGGCCGAAGGAAAGCUUUUUUCCCUAAAAACGGGUUAUUUCGAAAGCUUCUGUUUCCAGGAACUUCAGCUUUUCCCCUGCCCCGAACUAAUUUUGUCCCUUACGAGCUUCCCUAAUCCUGGGCAUUGUAUCCGUUCGAUCUUUUGGUGCAGCAAUUAUGUCUGCUUUGGAGCAAGACGUAAAUCCACGUCCUUUGCAAAGCUCCUGAUUUAAAUUAUCUUUGUGGCUCUAUUUAGCCGGUUCUAUAUGUGCAGUUUAUCUCGUGUAGUCCUAUCUUUACCCCUCUCCCCAUUUCCAUUUUACAGAUGAGAAAAUUGAGUUCAAAGGGCUGGGGGAAAUUACUUGGGCAGGGCCAGCUAUCACUUGUGGCUGAAGCAAAAACCCUUGCCUCAUGCUUAAUUCUGCACUUUAUCCACUGCGCAACGCUUAUGUUGCCUCUGACGACUGGUGGUAGUGAAGAAGGUUUACGUGUCUCUCUUUCGCUUUUGUUGCUGGCCAGUUCCAAGACUUUAGGUUCGCCUUUGGGAAGCAGGCUGAGCACAAGGCUAAACCCAACUGCCCUGGGAGGUACAUUGGCCUCCAGACCAGCGAGUUUCGUCCAAAGUAGGCAGCAAAAAGGGUAUUACUUGUGUUAAAUAACUAACUUAUCAAACUGUUCAGCUAUUGGUCAAAAACAGAAUUCUGAUCGUUUUAGCCAAUCAAAAGGUUGGGUCUAAGAAAAAGUCUCAUAUUUAAAUAUGAUCGUCCCACUUCAGUCAAGUUGCUCCAAUCAGGAGCUGGGAUAGAGUUUAUUUGCAUAGAAGCCCUAUAAAAAUAAUCGGGACCUGAAAUUUACGUCUUUUGUUUUGCUUCUUGGAAAAUUAUUUAUUGCACUAUUCCACCUUACUCUCAACUCGUCUGAACUUAGGUUUAGAACGAUGGUAAAAAGCGCAAGCGCGAUCCUAAGAGUUGUUGAAGAAGGUACACGUGGUACCUUGAGCAAAGCCUGGAACAUUACAAUUGAUUUUAACAAAAUUUUCUAUGGUAUCUUAGGGAGUAACAACACUUCCCGAGGAUCCAGAUGCCCCUUUCUUGACAGUUGAUCAAAAGCUCAUCAUGUUGGAGGCCACCAAGGAUGCCAAUUCUCCCAAAGUGACCCCAGGAGCUCUUUCAAAAUGCACUCUCAUUCUCAGUGGCUUUAAUUCCGUAGUAUCAAAAUACUUCCUUGUCAGUAAAUUUGUAUUGAACGUAGUGUGGUCACUGAUUCUAACAAAAGCAAUUUGUAAUUUAUAAUAAUUCAUAAUCUCCCAUCUGUGAUCCUUCUGUGUAAUAAAGCAAAUAUAGUCACUGCAUAAGAAAAAAAAUUCUAUAGUAUCCACAAGCAAGGGGUUAUAUUUAAAGCCUAAUUUUCCCUUUUCUUUUUUCCUCUCCUAAAACAUACAUAAAACAUGCCAAGGAAUGCUUGUGUCAAUGGAAGUAUCCUGCAGCAGCAAGAACAGUGAACUUACAGCCAGGGGACUGAGAUUCAAAACAUGUCUCUGCCAUUGACUCCCUGUGUUACCAUCUGCAAACCACCCUGUCCGGGCCCCAGUUUCCUCCUUUAAGUGAGUUGGCCUAGAUGAUCUCUAAAGUCCCUUUCCUCCAUAAGUCUAGAAUCCUAAAUUCAACUUUUGAAAAUUAUCUCUGGUUGCAAAAUGUUUAAUUACUUUGAUUAGUGCUUCCCUGGCCCAUCUUUGUUUCUUUGUUUGCAUGACCUGAUGUCUGAAGGAAGAAGAAAGACAUGGGAAAAAUUAAUAAAGGCAUUUCAAGAUCUGA